GUUCACCUUUACCUCCAGACGAAAUCUUGUCAAGUCAUAGUGUUGGUGGUUCGGUCGACGUGGCCGCAAUAAAGUGCUUGUCCCUUUGUAUGAAUGAAUUAAAAUGUGUUGGAUUCAACGUCAAAGCAGGUUUCAAUGAUGAAAACUGCCAACUUACUAACGUCACUAAAAGCAAAAAUGAGAACAAACAAAGGAAAGGGGAAUGGAAGUUGUUUCGUGAUUUUGAAGCGGUAUGUAGAAUAUAUAUUUUUCUGAUUGUUAGAUAAUUUUAGGCCGUCACAUGUCCUGCUCUAUCUUUCAAGUUCGUUGCACAUGUCGC
Molecule: non-coding RNA, 319 nt
Organism: Paramuricea clavata
Lineage: Eukaryota; Metazoa; Cnidaria; Anthozoa; Malacalcyonacea; Plexauridae
Source: the annotation of a GenBank genome assembly